Long non-coding RNA from Scylla paramamosain (green mud crab), 2478 nucleotides. RefSeq lists it as uncharacterized. The transcript has 5 exons. The record is from RefSeq and is a predicted model, not a curated record. Lineage: Eukaryota; Metazoa; Arthropoda; Malacostraca; Decapoda; Portunidae.
UGGCACCGUGGAAUGCUGGGUCACGUCAAUAUAUUCCUAACCAGGUGCAAAAACAUGAAAUACGAGGCUCAACAAUAAACAGUAAGGUUAACCACUGACCUGACAGCCCUGUGUUGUUGUUGUUGUGGGUGACACGUAACAACACUAUCACAGUUACCGCCUGUUACAUCACACUGUGCAAAUUAGCUGGCUGGACAAGUGGUGGGCCGGUUUCUUACCAAUAUUAUCCCUUGUGGCACUGCAGGCACCUCCCGGCAGGCACCAAGCUUGCACCAGCACACGCAGGCACCCACCACGGCCCCUGUCACUGUCUUGUUCUGCGAAAAUACGUUAAAUAAAGCACCAGUUUAUGGCACCCUUUUAACCUAGUGCCUUGUGUCUGACGUCUGGUUGUGUCGUCCGUCCCAGCCUGCUCCGCACAGUACGCAGGCAAACCUAUCCACAACACACUUAGCUUUCAAUAACAAGCACCAACUUCUUUUAUAUUAUACUAAACUAAUAGAAAAUUAAAUAUAAAGAAUUAUAAGCGUGUAAAAAUAAAUCUCAGGCCAUUAUAACUGUAAUUGUCAAAGUAUCUAGAUGUUACUGAUUGAAGCGCCAAAUUCAAACUGGUCCUGGCGGGACUUACACUGCAAUGUCUCGUCCCUUGUGUGGCGUAAUGUGAAAUCAUUGAAAAGCUUGUGUGAAUUGAAGGCUUGGCUUAAUACUGUGUUAUAUCUCAGCUUAUCAUUAUUAAGUAUUUACCAUUUGACGUUAAAAAACAACAAUACUUCACAGAGAUAUCCAAGUAUAACAGAGGCUUCCAUACUGUAGCUAAUGAUCAACAGAGAAUUACCAGCCUUUCUCUGUGUGUCAAAGAGAGCCCUUAGGGAAACGUUCGUGUGCGUGUGUGUGUGUGUGUGUGUGUGUGGUAUGGAAAGAUAUAAUUGCUUAAGUACAGCUCUCUCUCUCUCUCUCUCUCUCUCUCUCUCUCUCUCUCUCUCUCUCUCUCUCUCUCUCUCUCUCUCUCUCUCUCUCUCUCUCUCUACGUAUUUUGCCUGUCUGCCCUCGUGUGUGUGUGUGUGUGUGUGUGUGUGUGUAUCUCAUUUAUUUAUUUAAGUUAUUUUUCUUCUUCACGCAGAUAGUAAUUGACGAACACAACACACCACGUGGAGAGAAGCAAGGUGUGGAGUACCCAAGCCUCUCACAGUCCAUGCUAGUAGACUCACCCUGCAUGUGGAGAUCUCCCAAAAUGCACGGAGGUUAUUCCAGAGCUGCAGGACAGAGUACUUGAGGCCAUUGGUGAACAGAAAGCUGAGGUUGAACAAAGCCAAGAAUUGAUAGCUGCCCAAGGUGUAAGCAAGAUUCACAAUGAUGAGGUCAUUGUGACGUGUGCAAUGUGUCCACUGGUCUUGGCCUUCCUGACCAAGGCAGCCACACAAAGGAAAUUCCACGUUAUUGUUGCCGAACGUGCCCCUAAAUAUGAUGGUCACCCAGUGGCAAAAGCUUUAUGUACUGCUGGAAUUGAGACAACAUUAAUUCAAGACUCUGCAGUGUUCCCCAUCAUGUCACGUGUCAACAAGGUCAUCAAAGGUCAUCGUUGGCACCGAGACGGUGGUGACCAACGGAGGCAUUGAGACCUUUGUUGGUGCAGCCUCUCUUGCCUCACCACCAAAGUUUUAUUCUGUUCCACUGUAUGUGUGCACUCCCACAUACAAAUUUAGCUUGAUGGGCUGUGAAGAAAUAAGCCACCAAACCACCACUUCUAUUAUCCCAGAGGGAACAAAGUUUUGGCCGUCUGUAAAUACUGCGCUGACUCAGCUAGAUUACGUUCCUCCAGAAAAUGUCACCAGUUUGAUAACUAACAAUCGAGGUACUGCACCAUCCUACGUGUACCGGCAGCUUAGCGAACUGUACCGUCCCACUUCUUGUGUAACAAGAAGGUAACAGCUUUAAUCCUUGCAAAUAAGGAAUAAGAGAAAAGAGACACACCUGCCAUUUGUACUGUUAUGCUGUAGUGUUCUGUCAUUUUUUUCCUCUUUUAUCCUAGAACCAUUUUUGGUCAUUCAUGUUUCUAAAAAUUAUUAUACAAAAAUGUUGAGCUUAAUAUGUUUGGUGUAGUUUUUUGUAACAUGUGUUAUUGUUAAUGUGUGUGGUUCCCCUCAGGAAGAAUGUUGCAGUAUUAGCAGUAAUGUUACAGCCAAUGGAAGUGUCUGUAUUGUGGUUUGGUGGGAGGUUAAUUUGAUGUAUUUUUAGAGUUGUGCAGGAUAUUAUAGCAAGCCCUCAAAAUAAAGAAAAUAACUAUAGAAAACACUCCUUGUAUUGAAAACACCACUGCAGAGAAAUCUCUAAUGAAACAGGAAACCCUACAUUCAGUACUGUGUGGUUGUUGCAGUAACACUGAGCUAAAUGCCUUUUGGAUGGUUGUACACUAAAAAUAAUGUAAAAAUGCCUAUAAACAACUGUCCGUCCCUGCAUUAAAAACCUUUCAUCAUAAAA